Molecule: ribosomal RNA, 121 nt
Filed under: Philcoxia goiasensis
Lineage: Eukaryota; Viridiplantae; Streptophyta; Magnoliopsida; Lamiales; Plantaginaceae
Description: partial 18S small subunit ribosomal RNA
Rfam family: Eukaryotic small subunit ribosomal RNA
Source: RNAcentral
GAUHGCGGCGACGCGAGCGGUUCGCUGCCCGCGACGUCGCGAGAAGUCCACUGAACCUUAUCAUUUAGAGGAAGGAGAAGUCGUAACAAGGUUUCCGUAGGUGAACCUGCGGAAGGAUCAU